GCCCGGGUGAUGAAAUGGUAGACGUAGGGGACUCAAAAUCCCCCGCCGCGAGGCGUGCCGGUUCGAGUCCGGCCCCGGGCACCA
This 84-nucleotide transfer RNA is filed under the name Herminiimonas sp. RNAcentral's name for it is "tRNA-Leu". It matches the Rfam family "tRNA". Rfam says of the family: Transfer RNA (tRNA) molecules are approximately 80 nucleotides in length. Their secondary structure includes four short double-helical elements and three loops (D, anti-codon, and T loops). Further hydrogen bonds mediate the characteristic L-shaped molecular structure. tRNAs have two regions of fundamental functional importance: the anti-codon, which is responsible for specific mRNA codon recognition, and the 3' end, to which the tRNAs corresponding amino acid is attached (by aminoacyl-tRNA synthetases). tRNAs cope with the degeneracy of the genetic code in two manners: having more than one tRNA (with a specific anti-codon) for a particular amino acid; and 'wobble' base-pairing, i.e. permitting non-standard base-pairing at the 3rd anti-codon position. The record is from RNAcentral. Lineage: Bacteria; Pseudomonadati; Pseudomonadota; Betaproteobacteria; Burkholderiales; Oxalobacteraceae.